This 380-nucleotide ribosomal RNA is filed under the name uncultured archaeon. RNAcentral describes it as "bacterial SSU rRNA". It matches the Rfam family "Archaeal small subunit ribosomal RNA", at positions 471 to 851 of the family's 1478-position model. The record is from RNAcentral.
UAAAACCAGCUCUUCAAGUGGUCGGGACUAUUAUUGGGCUUAAAGUGUCCGUAGCCUGUUUAGUAAGUUCCUGGUUAAAUCGGAUAGCUUAACUAUCUGUCUGCUAGGAAUACUACUAUACUAGGGGGCGGGAGAGGUCUGAGGUACUCCAGGGGUAGCGGUGAAAUGCUAUAAUCCUUGGGGGACCACCAGUGGCGAAGGCGUCAGACUGGAACGCGCCCGACGGUGAGGGACGAAAGCCAGGGGAGCGAACCGGAUUAGAUACCCGGGUAGUCCUGGCUGUAAACGAUGCGUGCUAGGUGUUGGUAUGGCUAUGAGCCGUAUCAGUGCCGUAGGGAAACCGUUAAGCGCGCCGCCUGGGGAGUACGGUCGCAAGGCUG